Long non-coding RNA from Oreochromis niloticus (Nile tilapia), 5822 nucleotides. Lineage: Eukaryota; Metazoa; Chordata; Actinopteri; Cichliformes; Cichlidae. The record is from Ensembl.
AUGUGGGCCUACAGGACUGAUCCAGUGGUCGAAAACCAGCCAACAAGCCAGCCAACAAUGGAUGUGGCUGUAGACACCAGAUUGAACUCAGGAGAAGAUGCAGUGAUUGAGCAAAACGCAAUACAGCAUGAUCCGGACAGUGUGUGCCCGGAACAUUUUGGCACUUUUGACAGUAAUAUGACAUUGUACUCUGGCUUCGAUGAUGGCGCCCAUAUCUCGCAAAGGCCCCUUGUUCCAUCCCAGACCAACAAUGAUACCUCGACUCCAAACAUUUCAGCAGCUUGUCCAAGCGGGUUCGCAGAUGGAGUAGCAUCAUGCCAAUCUAUGGAUGACUCCUGCCACGAUGUUCUUACCAGACAAGCAACAGCUCUUGUAUUGACUGCAAGAGAGAAACAUCGGCUUUCACAGAGUGGUGUGAAUGAUGUCGUUGCAGCAUUACAACAGUAUCAGGCAUCGUUGGUCAAUAAUCUGAGAAGUCAGGUAGAAAAGGUUUUCCAGCAGCAUCAUGGAAGUGGACUUGAAAAAGAUGUUUUGGCAGUGUUCGACCAGAUUGAGGAUCCAUUUGCCUCUGUUUCAACAACAUACAGGCAGGAUGGUGUGAUAAAGAGAAAUUUCAAUUUUGUGGAAUCCGAGGAGGUUUGUGUUGGGUAUACUGCUGUCAUGGUAAAAAAAGGGAAAAAAAGAUUCCUCAGUACUGUGCCCAAAUGUUUUCAUUAUGUUCCGCUUGUCAGAAGUUUGGAGCAGUUAUUCUCCCAUCCAAGAGUUUUGGCAUUGAUAGAUGAGCAGAAAAAUUACAGAAAUGAUUAUUUAUACGAUAUCAUAGAUGGAGAACUCAUGAAGUCUCACCGUUUAUUUUCUGCACACCCUUCUGCCUUACAGAUUAUACUUUACUCAGAUGAAAUUGAAAUUUGUAACCCACUUGGGUCUCAUGCCUCCAAAAAUAAGUUGGUAAUGUUCUAUUAUACUUUGGGAAACAUUAAUCCUAAAUAUCGAUCAAAACUAGCUGCCAUUCGUCUACUUGCCAUUGCAAAAAAGAGUGCGCUUUCUGAAUGUGGUGUAGAUGGAAUCUUGCAAAGGCUGCAUGAGGACUUAGUGAAGCUAUUUAAUGGAGUUAAAAUUCAAACUGGAAAUGGUGAACGUGAAAUAUUUGGAGCAUUAGUUUCAUUAUGUGGAGACACUUUGGCGCAACAUGAGCUUUGCGGGUUUAAAGAGGGUGUUGGGUUUGCUCAUAGUAAAUGCAGGCAGUGUGAAUGUUCAUUUGAGGACAUGCAAAUUUAUUUUGAUGAGGAUAACUUUGAGGAACGGACAUUUGAACGACAUGUCCAGCAAUGUAGCGAAAUUGAGAAGGCCAACACAGAGUAUCUAAGAAGCAGCUUAAAAACAACAUAUGGAAUAAACAGAAGAAGCAAACUUAUUAAUUUCCCAGCAUUCAACUUGAUCCAACAAACACCCCAAGACAUGAUGCAUGUAAUUUUUGAAGGGAUUGCUCCAUUAGAAAUAAAGUGUGUGUUGAAACACUUAGUGCUUAUGGGAGAGCUAGACUUAGAUCUCUUCAAUGCUGCAUUGACUGGUUUCCCAUACUCUCCAGUUGAUAUUAGAGAUAAACCAAGUGUUAUUACCUACAGUACAUUAGCUUCCAGUGACAAUAAGUUGAAGCAGUCCUCGGGGCAAAUGAUUGUGCUUUUGAAAAUUUUGCCAUUUCUGAUUGAUGCAGCCAAAGGUACUGAACACUACGCAUUCAUUCUUGAACUCAUUGAGAUAGUUCAGAUUUUACUUGCUCCUGUCAUCAGUCUGCAGACAAUUAACAAGUUGAAAAUCCUCAUUGAACAGCACUUGAAGCACAUGAAACCCCUUUUCCCAGAUAACAACAUCACACCAAAACAACAUUAUUUGAUUCACACACCAAGCCAAAUUAAACGUUUGGGACCAAUGGUCCGUCAUAUGUGCAUGAGAUUUGAAUCGAAACAUUGCUUUUUCAAACAAUGGGCAUCAAAAAUAAAUUUUAAAAAUGUUUGCAAAUCUUUAAUAAAGCAUAAUCAAAUGUAUGAAUGUUGUCAGAAUGUGGAUAGUUUUGAUCACCCCAUUUUUUCCAAUGAAUGCACAUUAGGACCAACCUCAGAAGUAAGCAACAUGUCAUACUUAAAAGAAAAAAUGAGGGCCUUCCUUGGAAAUGAUGAAGUAAACCAUGCAGUGACUGUUAAAUGGCUUAAUCUAAAUGGUAACAAAUACAUAAGGGAUAGGUCAUUAAUUGUUUGUGCUGUUUGUUCUAGUGAUUUACCUAUAUUUGGGCUUGUGAAAAAUAUCUAUGUGAUCAAUUCAUCAUUGUACUGUUUUGAAUUCCAGCAGCACAAUACCAUUUGUUAUGACAGAGAUUACAUGUCAUAUAAGAUAGAGAUUCCAAACAUGGCACAAGCAACGGAACUGAUAUCUGCUGAUAAUCUUAUAGAUUUCACUCCAUAUUACAGUUUCACACACAAAGAUAUGACAUAUGCAGUCGUGAAAUAUUACCUGUGUGAUGUAAUUGGACUACACAUGAGUUCAACAGAUGUUUUAUAAAAGGUACACUGCUUUACAUGCAUGAACUGUAUUAUCAGGUUAUUGCUUUGGACAGUUUUGUUGUUGAGUUUUCUAUCAAAUCUGACAGUUGAAUGUGAUUGUAGCAUUGCCAUAGUGAAGAUAUGUGUACUGAUACUUGUCUGAUGCUGAUCUAUUAAUCUGUUUGACCUGGCCUAAAGUGAAUGAGUUAUGUUGUUUCUGUUUUUCAAAUGGGCCUGUAUUUCAUGUUUAUCAUUGGCUUUUAGUUCCAGCUUUUGUGCAUGUUGUGUCAAACUUGACAGCAGUUUUAUUACACUUUAGUGUCAAUAAAUACAUUUCUUAAACUGAGCAGCUGUUUAAGUGGCCUUACUCUUGAAAUGAGAAAAAUAAUCUUGUUUUUAUUCUGGAAUUCAACCGAACCGUUUUCAUACCUUGUAACUGGUAAAUAAAGCUCAAGAUGAGCUGAAAUAUCCUUUUAAGGAAAAGUUAGACAUAUUUUCCUAGAAUAAGAUUUAUUUUCUUGUGCAAAACUUGCUUGUUAAGAAUAUAUUUUCUUUUUAGACAAAAAAUAAGAAAAAAUGUCCAUAAACAAGGGUUUUUUUACUUUCUUGAAAAUCAUUUUUUGCAGUGUAGUUAAAUUAAAACUAGUGGUUUGAUUAAAUGAAACACUUGUGAACAAGCUGACAUUACCCAUUCAGAAGAAAUUCCCACUUGUGCCGUUUUUAAAAUAAAAUGCAUGCAUCGCUGCAAGCUGAGAUAUUGUCAGAAUUAUAAAUUUAGUGUGAUUAAAACACUAUUACCAACACUUUUGACUAGAUGUAAAUAAAAAGCAUCCCCUCUUUGUUAAGGUGCACUGUGAAGCAAAACGGCUUCCACUCCGCCCGCAAAACAAAGAAUUGCUUUUAAGAACACGUAUGUCUGCAUAACUGAAUGUUGAGAUACACCAAAGUGAUAAAAAUAGUUUGGGACUCUGACCAGCAACAUCCAGCAAGACCCAGACAGCGUUUUCUAUCUCCCAGCUGGAGUUUUUUGUUUGUCUGUGACUGCAGAGUCAGAUCUUUGUUGAGCCUCACACUUGCAGAGGUAAGUCAGUUUGCAGAGAUCCCUCCCACCCUGGCUUUCAUGUGCUAGAUUUCUUAUCUGAAACAGUAAUAUUUCACUGACUGCUGCUUAUACCACAGGUUAAUACACUCUACUGAUCCCUGAUGGGAGAAUCAUCAAGAAGCCUGGUGGAUGUUUGUUUACAGUCUGAUGAUGCGACAUCAUGCUCUGCAUCUUCAAAGUUUGUCUCUUGAUCAUCAUUCAUACACAGUUAUGUAAAGUAUGCUCAUAUCUAGUAGAGCAGGGCAAUAUGGCCCAAAAUAUUUAUCACGAUAUAUAUUUGAAAAUAUAUAUCGGUUACCGAGGGAGAGUUUCUGAAAAGCUGCAUGAUGAAGGUGUGCGACGUCUUGUGUCCAGACAAAACGCAGAUUUUGGCAAAUGUGAGCCUGAGGAGAAACGAAUGUCAAAGUGUAACCGCCAUGAAACUGCCCUGGGACAAACUUGUUGGGCUUACAAGAAAUCGAACAUCAGUGUUGUGUGGUGAAAAAAGUGGACUUGUUGGCAGGAUGCAAGUACAGGUGCAGGAAAUGAGUUAGGGGGCGAUUUUAGCCCAUUUUGGGGGUGCUUCAGCCCCAAAAUGAAUCAAAGUGCCCCCAAAGAUUUCUUACUUUUUUGACAAUACUUGCUGUUUGUGUGACACACUAGUAAAAAAAUAAAAAGCAUUCAGUACUUGGUUGAGACGUAACAUUUUAACAACAAAAGUAUAGACCCCCCCCUCCCAAAAUGCAUGAAAUUGCAGCUCGCCUCUCCCUGCUGGAGCGAUGGUGGUUGAGACGCAGCGGAGCUGAGGUGGAAGUGCCUGGCAUAAAACAGGACAUAUUAGCUGCAUUUAACCUUCAGUUACUCUUUAUAUAGUUGGUAGGAGUCAGACCAUGUUUGUUUUUAGCUGAAAAACAUUACACCAGGUAACCUGCAGUGUGGAAAACUUGUUUUCCGACGAUGUUUGCUACCCUACAAUCCGUCCUGCUCUGUAGUAAAAUCAGUGAUAUUUGACUGUCCUGUUGCUCCCAUUGAAAUGUAUACAGCCUACUUAAAAUCUAAAACUUAUAAUUGUCCGUAGCUACUUUUGUUACCACUGUCCUGUUUGAAAUGGAUACUAACUAGCUAACUGACUGAAUGCCUAUUAACCUUAUAACUCCUGGUGUGUGUGUGUGUGUGUGUGUGUGUGUGUGUGCGUGUGUGUGUGUGUGUGUGUGUGUGUGUGUGUACAGAGAGACAGUCAGGUUCAUAAUGGAUGUUAGGAAGUUCAUGUUUUUUUUUAAAAAAAGAGCCACAUUCAGGUAAAACUAAAAUCAAAUGAUCCAUCAAUCAAAAAUAAUGUUGGAUCAGUGUUUCAAUAUUUAUAUCUUUUAUUAGAUGUUCAUGUGGUUUGGUUAUUUGCCUUUUGGUUGAAAGUACACUGAGAGAGGACUUUUCGUUAGUGAUCUUAAUAAUAUUUUUUUCAUAUUAAUGUCAUUUUUAAUCUAAUUGAAUACAAUCUAUUUGUGUAUGAUUGUCAGUCCAAAGAGGGAGAGAGGAAAGAGGGGAACGUGGGGAGAAAGUUAAAGGUCAGGAAGAACCAGGUAAGAAAACAGAAGGGGAAUAGUGACAGGCAAAACAGAAACUAUGAAACUGACAAAGAGAAAAAAAAUGAUUUUACUCACGCAAUCUGGAAGUUUUUCUCUCCCUGUGUUAAAGCUGCUUUACAGGAUCUGCAAAACAAACUGGGUUGAAACAUUUUUGAUGCUCAACAUUCCAACAUAACAUUAUCAUUGAUCAAUUAAUAAUCAAUGAUAAUGGGGAGAUUAAAAUUAAUAAUAUAUAUGUAUGUGGUUCAGCCACAACUCUACUAAAACCUCAGCCAGUAAUAGGUAGGCCAACUUUUGGGCCGUCCAGUUGUCUGUAUGACUGCCGCAGUACGUACAUCACAUUUGCUCACUAUCAGAAAGAGCCAAACGGAGCGUGGAGUGAUAAGAUAAGAUAAGAUAAAAUAAAAUAAAACUUUAUUAAUCCCUCAGGUGGGUUCCUCUGGGAAAUUCGGUUUCGAAAAGCACAGCACUGACAGAAAUUACAGAGCGUGAGCAGAAUAUUAUAUAUACACACAUAUAAAUACAGAGACAUAUAUAAAUAAAUUAUACGAAGGGGAUAAAUAGAAUAAAUAGGAAUAAAAAAUAAAAAUAAAAUACAAGUGAAAAUACAAGCGAAUU